Molecule: long non-coding RNA, 331 nt
Filed under: Monodelphis domestica (gray short-tailed opossum)
Lineage: Eukaryota; Metazoa; Chordata; Mammalia; Didelphimorphia; Didelphidae
Description: lncRNA (ENSMODG00000044735.1)
Source: RNAcentral
ACAUCUGCAUUGAAGAGCUAAACAAAGGGAAAAUAUAGAUGCCAUCGAAACCCAUCAUUACGUUUGUGAUCUAGAUAAUAAAGUCUGAGAAGUCAAAUGCUUAGGGAAAAUGCCUACAUUGCACUUCUGAAAUUUCAGAAUGUGGCAUGACUGCUGCCUGUACGUGUGAAAAGUCAGGAUGAGAGUUCACAGCAGGUUGAUGGCCUGGAGAUGAAAAGUCUGUCUGAGGACAUUUCAAAGUUGUAAAGAUCUCCUUCAGUCACCUUUCCAGUGAAGUCACCAGCUAUCUCAAUAUGGAGGACAUUGUCAAAUUCUUCAUUAAACUUAUCUA